RNAcentral lists this transfer RNA (69 nucleotides) under Ovis aries (sheep). It matches the Rfam family "tRNA". Rfam says of the family: Transfer RNA (tRNA) molecules are approximately 80 nucleotides in length. Their secondary structure includes four short double-helical elements and three loops (D, anti-codon, and T loops). Lineage: Eukaryota; Metazoa; Chordata; Mammalia; Artiodactyla; Bovidae. The record is from Rfam by way of RNAcentral.
CCUGGUGGCUCAGACGGUAAAGCAUCUGCUUACAAUGCGGGAGACCAGGGUUCAAUCCCUGGGUCAGGA